AGGGAAGUGCCUCAGGCUCUGGGGGACAUGCUGCAGGGUUGGAGCUCCCACAAAAGGAAAUGAAAUGAGAGAGGGGAGAAGAAGAAUUUCUCCUCAGCUCCCGACCCCUGCAAGCAUUUUCACGUGGGAGAGUCAGGCUGAUUGCUUGGUCUCCGUUGAAGGAAGCCAGCCUUACCCACAAAGGCAACCCCAAACUUUGGUUUAGAAGUGGGGAUGCUGCCUGGUUAACCUUAUCCUUCAGGAAAAAACCCUAGGCUGGGUUCUUGGGGGCAACGAAGCCCUUUGGACUCCUCUUCUGGGCCUCCGGUCCAGUUUGCCCAAGCCAAAUCGCUGGGCUCCAGAGGAAGGCUAAUGCCUAUCCGUGACUUGGGGAUACGUAGUCUCUGUCCCCAUUUAAUUGGGUGCCAGGGUCCAGCCACCCUGGUGGGUGCGGGAGAGGUGCCCCCGAAGAGUAGCAGCAAGAUCUCUUCUUCCCUUCGUUAGGGCUGAAGAAGCAAAGACGCCCUCCGCAGCGCUCUUUCUUUCUCUGUCCCUCUCCCUAAGGCUGUCUCGGUCCCCCAACCGUGUUCUGGUCACUUUCUUGUUCUGCGAGAGGGCAGCGCGGGUCAGACCCGGAGAUAUCUGCGGCGGUUGGGUAAGGAGCCCAAACCAUCUGAAGGGCCGCGCUUGCACAAGGAGUGGCGGGGGCCCGGCAAAG
RNAcentral lists this long non-coding RNA (697 nucleotides) under Marmota monax (woodchuck). Lineage: Eukaryota; Metazoa; Chordata; Mammalia; Rodentia; Sciuridae. The record is from RNAcentral.